GCGGGAAUAGCUCAAUUGGUAGAGCAUCAGCCUUCCAAGCUGAAUGUUGCGAGUUCGAGUCUCGUUUCCCGCU
This is a transfer RNA of Moheibacter sediminis, 73 nucleotides long. It matches the Rfam family "tRNA". From Rfam's summary of the family: Transfer RNA (tRNA) molecules are approximately 80 nucleotides in length. Their secondary structure includes four short double-helical elements and three loops (D, anti-codon, and T loops). NCBI's taxonomy places the organism in Bacteria, Pseudomonadati, Bacteroidota, Flavobacteriia, Flavobacteriales, Weeksellaceae. The record is from Rfam.